This 76-nucleotide transfer RNA is filed under the name Methanobrevibacter sp. RNAcentral describes it as "tRNA-Ala". It matches the Rfam family "tRNA". From Rfam's summary of the family: Transfer RNA (tRNA) molecules are approximately 80 nucleotides in length. Their secondary structure includes four short double-helical elements and three loops (D, anti-codon, and T loops). Lineage: Archaea; Methanobacteriati; Methanobacteriota; Methanobacteria; Methanobacteriales; Methanobacteriaceae. The record is from RNAcentral.
GGGGCAUUAGCUCAGCUGGGAGAGCACUGGAUUUGCAAUUCAGAUGUCACCGGUUCGAACCCGGUAUGCUCCACCA